GAUGAAGAACGCAGCGAAAUGCGAUAAGUAAUGUGAAUUGCAGAAUUCAGUGAAUCAUCGAAUCUUUGAACGCACAUUGCGCCCGCUAGUAUUCUGGCGGGCAUGCCUGUUCGAGCGUCAUUUCAACCAUCAAGCCCCCGGCUUGUGUUGGGGACCUGCGGCUGCCGCAGGCCCUGAAAACCAGUGGCGGGCUCGCUAGUCACUCCGAGCGUAGUAAUACAUCUCGCUCAGGGCGUGCUGCGGGUUCCGGCCGUUAAAAGCCUUAUUUUACCCAAGGUUGACCUCGGAUCAGGUAGGAAGACCCGCUGAACUUAAGCAUAUCAAUAAGCGGAGGA
RNAcentral lists this unclassified non-coding RNA (335 nucleotides) under soil metagenome. Its description in RNAcentral is "partial contains 5.8S ribosomal RNA, internal transcribed spacer 2, and large subunit ribosomal RNA". The stretch from base 1 to 120 matches the Rfam family "5.8S ribosomal RNA", at positions 35 to 154 of the family's 154-position model. The record is from RNAcentral.